GACGAACGCUGGCGGCAUGCUUAACACAUGCAAGUCGAACGGAAAGGCCCUGCUUUUGUGGGGUGCUCGAGUGGCGAACGGGUGAGUAACACGUGAGUAACCUGCCCUUGACUUUGGGAUAACUUCAGGAAACUGGGGCUAAUACCGGAUAGGAGCUCCUGCUGCAUGGUGGGGGUUGGAAAGUUUCGGCGGUUGGGGAUGGACUCGCGGCUUAUCAGCUUGUUGGUGGGGUUGUGGCUUACCAAGGCUUUGACGGGUAGCCGGCCUGAGAGGGUGACCGGCCACAUUGGGACUGAGAUACGGCCCAGACUCCUACGGGAGGCAGCAGUGGGGAAUAUUGCACAAUGGGCGGAAGCCUGAUGCAGCAACGCCGCGUGCGGGAUGACGGCCUUCGGGUUGUAAACCGCUUUCGCCUGUGACGAAGCGUGAGUGACGGUAAUGGGUAAAGAAGCACCGGCUAACUACGUG
RNAcentral lists this ribosomal RNA (468 nucleotides) under uncultured bacterium. RNAcentral's name for it is "partial 16S ribosomal RNA". It matches the Rfam family "Bacterial small subunit ribosomal RNA", at positions 28 to 507 of the family's 1533-position model. The record is from RNAcentral.